Long non-coding RNA from Pipistrellus kuhlii (Kuhl's pipistrelle), 215 nucleotides. RefSeq lists it as uncharacterized. The record is from RefSeq and is a predicted model, not a curated record. Lineage: Eukaryota; Metazoa; Chordata; Mammalia; Chiroptera; Vespertilionidae. The transcript has 3 exons.
GGGGAGGAUUACUGCUAGGCUCUGGCCUUGCUAUCCCUUUUAUUGAGGCUAUGGGAUACACCCAUUACCCUUAAGCAAGUUUGGGAGACACCCAUCACCCUUAGGCAGGUAAUAAGUGGAUUAUCAUAUCAGUAAGGGUUUACAUGAUUACAAGAUGGGGAAGUUGCCUCAGUUACCAUUGACUCAAUUAGAUAGGGAGUGGUUGGCUCUGCCCU